RNAcentral lists this ribosomal RNA (472 nucleotides) under uncultured bacterium. Its description in RNAcentral is "bacterial SSU rRNA". It matches the Rfam family "Bacterial small subunit ribosomal RNA", at positions 328 to 793 of the family's 1533-position model. The record is from RNAcentral.
UCUACGCACUCCUACGGGAGGCAGCAGUGGGGAAUAUUGCACAAUGGGCGCAAGCCUGAUGCAGCCAUGCCGCGUGUAUGAAGAAGGCCUUCGGGUUGUAAAGUACUUUCAGCAGUGAGGAAGGUGGGUAUGUUAAUAGCAUACUCAUUUGACGUUAGCUGCAGAAGAAGCACCGGCUAACUCCGUGCCAGCAGCCGCGGUAAUACGGAGGGUGCGAGCGUUAAUCGGAAUUACUGGGCGUAAAGCGCAUGCAGGUGGUUUGUUAAGUCAGAUGUGAAAGCCCGGGGCUCAACCUCGGAAUUGCAUUUGAAACUGGCAAACUAGAGUACUGUAGAGGGGGUAGAAUUUCAGGUGUAGCGGUGAAAUGCGUAGAGAUCUGAAGGAAUACCGGUGGCGAAGGCGGCCCCCUGGACAGAUACUGACACUCAGAUGCGAAAGCGUGGGGAGCAAACAGGAUUAGAUACCCUGGUAG